Molecule: ribosomal RNA, 253 nt
Filed under: uncultured bacterium
Lineage: Bacteria
Description: partial 16S ribosomal RNA
Rfam family: Bacterial small subunit ribosomal RNA
Source: RNAcentral
UACGAAGGGGGCAAGCGUUGCUCGGAUUUAUUGGGCGUAAAGGGUGUGUAGGCGGUUUGAUAAGUUAGAUGUGAAAGCCCAGGGCUUAACCCUGGAAUUGCAUUUAAGACUGUCAGACUUGAAGUUUGGAGAGGUUAGCAGAAUUCCCAGUGUAGAGGUGAAAUUCGUAGAUAUUGGGAAGAACAUCGGUGGCGAAGGCGAUUUUCUGGGCCAUAUCUGACGCUGAGGUUCGAAAGCGUGGGUAGCAAACAGG